RNAcentral lists this ribosomal RNA (342 nucleotides) under Triticum aestivum (bread wheat). RNAcentral describes it as "partial small subunit ribosomal RNA". Lineage: Eukaryota; Viridiplantae; Streptophyta; Magnoliopsida; Poales; Poaceae. The record is from RNAcentral.
AUGAGACUCUUGCUUCCCUUUGAAAGAGGCAGACCCCUACUUCAAUUGUCAUCUGACGACUCUUCCCCAGCUGUGGACUCAGACCUCUCACAACCAAAAAAAAGAAAAUCAAAAUCAAACGAAUCCGAAUAUAACCAAUCUAUCGCCUUUGAUGACUCGUUGACAGCCUCCUCAACCCAAGCUUCCAUCUCCUGCUCCAGACAUUGGCGCUUGCCCGUGCUAGUCCAUGAAAGGUGGAUGAAGGUGAGUUUGACUACGAACUCGAGGAUGCUGGGAACGAUCUCUUUUCGGGGAAUCACUCCCGUCGAGAGGCCCUCUUCCUCCCUUUUUAUAAUCUGGUAG